AGGAUGAACGCUGGCGGCGUGCCUAAUACAUGCAAGUCGAACGGUAACAGGCUUUCACUAUUUGCUUCUCUCUCAUCUGUAAAAUGAUGAGGUACAGAGGAGGAAGUGGUGAAAGUGCUGACGAGUGGCGGACGGCUGAGUAACGCGUGGGAACGUGCCCCAAAGUGAGGGAUAAGCUCUGGAAACAGAGUCUAAUACCGCAUAUGGUCUUCGGAUUAAAGUAUUUAUACGCUUUGGGAGCGGCCCGCGUUUGAUUAGAUAGUUGGUGAGGUGAAGGCUCACCAAGUCUACGAUCAAUAGCUGGUCUGAGAGGAUGAUCAGCCAGACUGGAACUGAGACACGGUCCAGACUCCGUACGGAGCAGCGAAGUAAGGAAUCUUACCAACAAGUCGGGGACCAACCCGUGAGUAGGAGCGAACCGCCGCGUGAAGGAGUA
RNAcentral lists this ribosomal RNA (436 nucleotides) under uncultured soil bacterium. RNAcentral's name for it is "bacterial SSU rRNA". It matches the Rfam family "Bacterial small subunit ribosomal RNA", at positions 26 to 411 of the family's 1533-position model. The record is from RNAcentral.